UUCCGAAUAAUUGGAAGUUGUUGCGGCUAUGAAAACAAACACGGCGCAGUCAAACGGAAAACAGAGCGCGUCAGGGACGUGUAGUAGGAAGGAAACGUGAUUCACGGUUGACAUUAGUUUGUCUCGAAUUUGUUGAUUUCACUGUACCGUUAGUCGAUCGAAGGUCUUCAGGAAAUAAAAUCUCACUGAGGUAUUCUCAACAUAACAUCAGUGUGACAUGCUCAAUCGAUUGCACUCUUCCCCGGCUGACCUUCUCGAAAUAUGUACAAAAUCCGAAUAAUCCUCGGUCGUCCAGCGACAACUUCCGGCACUCUCAAUGCCUUAUCGAUUAUUUGGGUACGAGUAGCCACAAAUAACAGUCGGUUGCUUAUAACAUACCUCUACACGAGUAAAACUGUACAAGAUGCUUACGUCUGAAUAAUUUCAAUCACAGUAAAGAUUGUGCAGAGCCGUCGUCAUUCUAUUCUCUCUGAUGUCUUCGUUUUCUUUCUCGACCACUGCUCAAAAUAAUUAGUAUUCUUUUUUUUUUUAUAGUAAAAUAUCGUUACAACAAAGUCAAAAGACGAAAAUUUUCUGUUCAAGAUGGAAAG
Molecule: unclassified non-coding RNA, 590 nt
Filed under: Bombus terrestris (buff-tailed bumblebee)
Lineage: Eukaryota; Metazoa; Arthropoda; Insecta; Hymenoptera; Apidae
Description: misc RNA ENSBTSG00005025322.1
Source: RNAcentral